RNAcentral lists this ribosomal RNA (337 nucleotides) under Azana anomala. RNAcentral describes it as "partial 12S ribosomal RNA". The record is from RNAcentral. Lineage: Eukaryota; Metazoa; Arthropoda; Insecta; Diptera; Mycetophilidae.
UAAAAAAAAAUUUAGGCGGUAUUUUAUUCUAAUUAGAGGAAUUUGUUUUAUAAUUGAUAAUCCUCAUUUUAUCUCAUUUAACUUAAUUAAUUUGUAUAUCCGUCGUCAUAAGAAUUUCUUUAAAAAGUAAAAAUUUUCUAAAAUUUUAAUUAAUAAUAAUGUCAGAUCAAGGUGCAGUUUAUAGUUAAGUAAAAAUGAAUUACAAUUAAUUUAUUAAUUAUGAAUAUUAAUUUGAAAUAAUUAAUUAAAGGUGGAUUUAAUAGUAAAAUAAUAUUUAUUAAGAUGAGUUAUUUGAUUAUAGUUCUAAAAUAUGUACAAAUCGCUGGCACUUCUCUGA